CCAAUAGCGUAUAUUAAAGUUGUUGCAGUUAAAAAGCUCGUAGUUGAAUUUCGGGGUUAGUAGGUUGGUCAUGCGUCUGGUAUGUACUGGUCUCACUGAUUCCUCCUUCCUGAUGAGCCGUAAUGCCAUUAAUUUGGUGUUGCGGGGAAUUUGGACUGUUACUUUGAAAAAAUUAGAGUGUUUAAAGCAAGCUAACGCUUGAAUACAUUAGCAUGGAAUAAUGAAAUAGGACGUUCGAUCCUAUUUUGUUGGUUUCUAGGAUUGACGUAAUGAUUAAUAGGGAUAGUUGGGGGCAUUAGUAUUCAAUUGUCAGAGGUGAAAUUCUUGGAUUUAUUGAAGGCUAACUACUGCGAAAGCAUUUGCCAAGGAUGUUUUCAUUAAUCAAGAACGAAAGUUAGGGGAUCGAAGACGAUCAGAUACCGUCGUAGUCUUAACCAUAAACUAUGCCGACUAGGGAUCGGAUGAUGUUAAUUUUUUAAUGACUCAUUCGGCGCCUUACG
Molecule: ribosomal RNA, 500 nt
Filed under: uncultured Glomeromycotina
Lineage: Eukaryota; Fungi; Glomeromycota
Description: partial small subunit ribosomal RNA
Rfam family: Eukaryotic small subunit ribosomal RNA
Source: RNAcentral